ACCAUCGAUGCCUGCAGUAGAUUGCUGAGGCGCUGCUCUUUAACUUCAAACUGGCAUAAGGUCAUCAACAUCCUUAUUCACAUCAAAGACGAUUUCAUUCAACAGGAGCAUCAAUGUAUCCAUGACUUGAAGCCAGUGCGACGGUAGACUCCUUCAACUCUUUAAGCCCUGCUUGAAGAACAAAACAAAAGGUAAAGCAAAAAAAAGAAAAAAUCGCAAAUUCAAGAUCAAUUGGAAAUCAUAUGAUCGCGUUUCCAAGGUGGGCGGCAUUUGGGAAACCAAUGUGUCUGCAUUACGUCAUAUGCUUCUUUCAUACUUUCGUAAAACUGACUCAGGUUCAUGUUUUCUCCAUGCUCGUUCGUUGCAGUAGAGACAAGCUUAUGCCGUAAAAUCUAUUCCAAACAAAAACAAAUAUCCAUCAUAGCGACAACAAGGCAUAUUUGAGAAUGUAAAUUUACAGGUCCUAUAUUCAAUGGUCAAUAAGAAUAUGUACCUGAUGUUUUUAGAGUAGCUAAGCUCUUGGUAUGCAUUGGAGAUUGCGGAAUCACGCCGUUGGAAGGAGGAUUCCAAUAAGCCCGCAGAAUAAGGUCUGGAAAGUAAGAUUGACAAAGACUGUAAAAUGCAAAAAUAUUGACGAGAUGGAGUAGAGGUUGAAAUAAGUUAUCUUCUUCCAUUAACUGUGAUUGCAAUGGAUUUCCAAGUGUUUCGAACAAAACAUACCAAAAAUCCCAAGAGUAGUAAGUCAUAGUGGUAAGACGAAGGUUUUCUUAGAUUGAACUCCUUUUGCUGCGCGAGUUGUGAUGCAAACACUAUGAUCAAAGUAGUAAGCACGGCAAUCAUAGUCGCUGGUAUAAAUGCUCCGAUAAUGUACAAUAUAGGCACAUUCAACAUUUCCUGCAAAAUGCAGCAAAAGAUUAGCAUCAUGCGCAUGCCUGCUUUAGUACGAGUUCGACUCUACUGAUAAAAAAUUAUUCAUAAUAAUUAUCAAACACGCCUUUACAACAGUCCAAUUUGAGUAUGCACCAGGAGACCAUGGAUUUGGACUAAAAAGUCGCCCUCGGGACUCCCCUCGGAACCUUGUUGACAGGUAUGUAAGAUACAGCAGUCCAUACGAGAUCAUUAAGGGACACCGUAAUCAGCUAUAAAUCCUCGUAGCCAACCUAUAAUAUAUAACAAAUUGGUUUAGAAAAAUGAGAAUGUUGAUAUAAACAAAUAAUUUACCGCAAACUCACAAUCUAAGCAUAGUAAAUACCUGUCCGUAACGCCGGAUCUAGCCUUGCGGCUUCCUAGACCGGUAAAAAGAAGGCCGAACGAUAAAACUAAAGCAAACAUGCCAUUGCCAAACAGCCAAGAGGAUGGAGUGCAAUCUGAUUGGUACCUUGUCUGUGUCUUUGGUACACCAAACUCUUCCACAAGUCCCUUUAAAAUGGAGAUUAUAACUUCUUAUCAAAUACUUAGUUUUCAUUUUAGGUAAACUGUUAACAGAAAGUGCCUAUUUUGAAACCGCAUACAGAAGUACAGAUUACUAAAGAAAAAUACCUUUAUAGCCUGCUGCAUAAAGAGCAUUGCAAUUACAGACCAAAUAGUUCACCGGUAAGGCGCGUGAACGCGGUUGAUUAUGGAGCAUGCACCGAGAAUAGCCAGCAAGAACAGCAACAGUGCAGUCCAAACGCACACCCUAAAACAUUAUUUGUAAAAAAGUAUCGACAAAGUUACUUCAGCUCAUUAGUAAUUCCCUUAUAAAAAUAAACCGGACAAAGAUUUCCAAAGAUACCAUCCAGUCCAAGGCAAGAACAAUUUGUGUCCUAAUCUCGCGAUCUUUUGCAAAAUUGUACAUGAAUGUAUACAUCAGAAACCGUUGGCUCGGCUACACCUAGUAUGAGGAGAGGUUGCCCUCCGAUAACCGAGUGGACAAUACCGCACAGUGCAGUUGAUGCAGAGUCUGCACAGCAGUGAGAGUUCCAUCUGUAUAAUAUAACUUCUUAGCAAUAUAAUAUGACAUAAAAACGAGACUGAACCUCAAAAAUAUUUGUGUACCGUACUUCUCUCAAGUUGCUCCCCAAAAGAAAUAACAGGAAUUGCAGAAGCAAAAAAUAUGUAUGUAGUUGGUGCAAGAUCCUAUAUAUAAACAACAACAAAAUUAAAUCAUCAAAAACCUUUCUUUCUAAUGUUUGUAAAAAAAAACAAGCAAGUUCAUAGUUAUAUCACAAACCUUGCACCUGCGCGGAAUCCACUGGUCCAAUCUUGUUGUAGCACAUAAUUCUUGCUUUGAAGUCAUUCUUAAUCCCGCGAAAAGGAACAAAUGUUUCUUCCAUGAAAGUCUUUGAAUACCAAGGAACUAAUAUUGAAUCUCAAAAAUAAAGAAGAUGAAAAAUAUGCAAUUGGAAGGUGCUUAUUUCAGACUCAAUUCAAGAGAGCUCUAGAGGUAAAAACAGUACUUAAUUAAAGCCUGAUACGCGAAAAUAAAACAUAACUCCGGGCAGGGAGACGAGAAUUCUACAUAACAUCAUCCUAAACAGAAAAGCUGAAGGUGUAGUUAUUUGUUGAUUGUUGAGCCCACCAGGCUCAUAGUGAAGAAAAUGAAUGAAUGAAUCCAGAAAAAAAGAAUUUACAUUUCAAAGAAUUUAUGAACUCUUGCAUAUAUUGUAUUGUGUAAUUGAACAAAAAGCACUUGAAUUACAUAUCCCAACAGAACUCAAAGAGAGUCAAACAAACACUUCACAAGAAGAGUUGAGUGAGAAAACUGUCCUCAAAAACUAACACUCAACCAUAACAAAACCAAGAUCCAAAACUACCCUUCUUCCUAGAAUACAAUAAAAACCCUCCAUAUGCCUAUCAAAAGAGACAAAAUUUACACCUAGAAACAAGUUACAUGUUACACUUUCACACUCAAACACACACUCAAUAUUCAAAGUGAAGUUAAUCAAAUACACGUUUUUGAAUGUAUAGCUUAUGGAGGCAAUACAAUAAAAUUAACGAAAACCCAUAAUCACAACCUGCAUUUUCAUAUAGUAUAAAAGCUCUAAGAAGAAUAUCUUAAACAGAACAGAACAUUCAAAGAUGCAGCUAGAUUAACGAGAUUCCAUGUUGGGAUUCGUUUAGAACACUUUUCAGGAUUCAGACAUUAAUUGAAAGCAAAAGGGUACUUUAAUCUAAAAUCAAAAAUUACAUCUUUCUGCAAAGAGACUUCAAAAAGGAAACAACGGCAAUUUGAAGCAAAACAAAGAAAAUGAACUUGCCGUUACAAUAAAGUGAGGAGCACGAAUAGUGAAGAUUCUAUGGUAAACAAGAUUGGCGACAAAGAACACAAAGUAAGAGUGACAGAACCAAGAGAAGAAGGGGUGAAAUUUGAUUUUUUGGAGGUUAUGAAAACGAGAGGUGUGAAGCACCCAAAGAGAAGGUGCAGAGAUGUUGUUUUUGUGUGACAGUGGUGGAAUGGUGUGAAGAAAGUUAAUUUAUAUAUAAAGAAAAUGUUGGAAUGAAGAAUGAAAAUAGUAUAGUAGUAAAUGAUAGUGCGACACAUAGACACAGACAUGAACAAGUUGUUUAGGAGUUUUAGGUAAAACUGUUUGUCGAUAAUGAUAGUUGCGUGUUUAAUAUUUGUAAAUAACUAUCUAAGACCAACAAAAUAAAUGAAGUGUGUGUUGUUUAUUUGUUCAACACAAAAGAACACAAAUUUGUCUAUAAAGAAACUUACAAAUAAGAUUGUGACUCAAAAAACUUAAAUAAAUAAAAGUAAUAAUGAUGGAUAAAUGAGUAAUAAUUNAUAUGCAUCUGCAAUAGGAUCUAUCAUGUAUGUCAUGUUAUGUACUCGACCAGAUGUCUCGUAUGCUUUAAGUGCAACGAGUAGGUACCAAUCUGAUCCUGGUGAUGCUCAUUGGGUAGCUGUCAAGAAUAUCCUUAAUUAUUUGAGAAGGAUUAAGAACUCAUUCUUGAUAUAUGGAGGUCAGGAAGAGCUGGUUGUAAUUGGAUACACCGAUGCUAGUUUCCAGACAGAUAAGGAUGACUUUAGAUCGCAAUCUGGUUAUGUGUUUUGCUCAAACGGUGGCGCUGUGAGCUGGAAAAGUUCAAAGCAAGACACAGUUGCUGAUUCUACAACUGAGGUCGAGUAUAUUGUUGCCUCAAGUGCAGCAAAGGAAGCUGUUUGGAUCAAAAAGUUCAUUAGUGAACUUGGCAUAAUUCCUAGCAUUGUGGAUCUCGUUGGUCUCUAUUGUGAUAACAAUGGUGCCAUCGCACAAGCUAAGGAGCCUAGAUCUCACCAAUGAUCCAAACACAUACUUAGGCAUUAUCACCUCAUUCGAGAGAUAAUAGAUAGAGGAGAUGUGAAAAUAUGCAGAGUACCUACACUUGACAAUAUUGCUGACCCACUGACAAAGCCUCUUGCGUAGCAGAAGCACGAUGGCCAUACUAGAUCUAUUGGCAUUAGGGGUUGCCUGAUUGGCUCUAGUACUAGUGGGAGAUUGUUGGUGUAAGCCCUAGAGGCCAAUACUUUUGGUACUUGUAUCGAAUUAUUUAUUAAUAAUAAAAGGCUUUUUCUUUAUUAUGUUUGUCUAAUAAAGUCCCUAGAAUAGAUAGUCCGUUUAAUGUAUCAAGUAUGACUUAAUCAUGAGAUCACAUUAAACAUAAGGACACUAUUCUUAAAGUAUCCGUAGUCGAGCUUUAUUGUGAAGUGGGAUAACAUUAAAGCAUUAAGACUAUUAUGUAUAUAGACUGAUGAUCACAUCUCAUGGAUCAUGGAUAAGGAGUUAUCAAGUCUUAAACAUAGGUAUGAAUAUUAAGAGUAAUAUUUAUACUGGAUUGACCCGCUAUGAGAAUACUAUAUAGAAUGUUAUGCAAAGUGUCAUAAGUUAUUCUCAUGGUGAUAAUGGUGUAUACCAUCCUUCGACCUGAAACCACUAUGGACCCUAGAUGUAGAGUCGAGUGCCUUAUUGCUGAUCAAACAUUGUCCGUAAUUGGAUGACCAUAAAGACAGUUGAAGGGUACUCCACGAAGCAUGCUAAGGGACAUGAGUGAACUAGAUGGAAUUUUCCCAUCCUGCGUAACAGAAUAAAUUCCUAUGGGCCCAAUAUUGAACUGUACAAAGAUGACACGGUCUAUGCCUUGUGUUCAAUAUAGACAUAAGGGCAAAAGGGUAAUUGUACACAUAAGUAUUAUCGCAAAAGGAUUUGUCAGAUCACAUGACAUUUUUGUGUCUUGGGUAGUAGUGAUGUGUUGCUAGAUACCGCUCAGUGUUUAUUAUGUUAAAUACGUGAUUUAAUAUAAUUAUCAAUGCCGCGAGAACCUACAUGGUCACACACAAAGGACGGAUUGAUAAGAGAUAGAGUAACUAAGAAACACCGUAAGGUACGGUACACUUAAGUGAAUUGUAGAACAUCGUAAGGUACGAUGUACUUAAGUAGAAUACGAAAUAUGGUAAGAUACCACGCACUUAAGUGAUUUUUGCAUAUUAUAAGAUAUGGGCCACAUACACUUAAGUGGGCUUUUUAGCUUAUAGCCCACACAAGUGGUUCUAUAAAUAGAACCCUUGUGCAGAAGCAUUAGUGCAGUUGCAAUUUCGUUUCUCUCUCUACCCACACAAGUGGUUCUAUAAAUAGAACCCUUGUGCAGAAGCAUUAGUGCAGUUGCAAUUUCGUUUCUCUCUCUCUCUCUCACUCAAAGCCUUCAUUCGUAGCAGCUAGCACUGAGAUUGAAGGAAUUCGUUCGUGUGAACUGAGUAAAGGCGUUGUCAUCGUUCAACGUUCGUGAUUGCUCCGUAGAUCUGCAUCAAAGGUUACAAUCGCCACAAGAGGUAACAAUUCUAUCACUGAUCAUGCCCAUUCGUAAGGAUCACUAAAGGAGAAAUUUUAAAUUCCGCUGCAUUUUGGAUCGCCUUUCUCCUUCACAGUCGAGUACACUAUAAGUUGUGUCAAACUCUAACUUGUCGCAUCAACCCAUAUGUUGAAAGAAAACAGUGAAACGUUUCAAUGAUGGAAAUGCAUUUAAUGUGUUUGUUCCCCGCUACUUUUCAACUGACUCCAAGUGUUUUAGUUCUAGCUCACAUUAGAAAACAUUCUUGGAGGCCGGCCAAAACCACUUAAGGUUCUCUGACUCUUUCUAUGUCCGACAAAGUCCUGGGAGCAACUGUUCUUGGUCGGCCAAAUGCUCAAAUGGUUGAGACCCACUUCAACUCAAAUCCGCUCCACUUGAUCCAAGAUAUAAAGUCAGUUCACACGGAAAGAAAGAUACAUUCUCUGAUCUCCACUUUUCACUACACUCAUCUUAAAUCUUAAACUGACUUGAACGUUACAAUGUUAACCUUUCAGGUCCACCCCGUACCACCACCCUGGAAAUCAACACCGCCGGUUUGAGUUUCCUCUUCAACGAAUCACAUCUAUUUCUGGUUCCAAGAAAGUGUAUCAUGUCUCAUAAUUCCUUCAUAGAAACAAGCUAAGCAACAUAAAACUGAAAUCCAAACAGCAACAUAACAACCAUUCAUAAAUGGCAUCAUUCCAUCAACUUGAAAAUAUUCCUGCCCGUUUUAUAUAUUGUAAGGAUUAAAACGAUAAGACAUCAAGAAGAUGUCGAUUGUUUGUUGUUGUCAAAAACACAACCUAUAGAGCAUCACUUAGUACUGCUAUGAUCUGUUAAAGAUACAUUUUAGCUUUGAAGUUGAAUCAUUUGAAUAUUUUUCAAGGAAUUUGCUUUAACUUUAACUUCUUUCCGUUUGAUCCUACACUACUGCUGCUUUCCCCUCUCAAUGCGGUUACUCGAGGGCUAGGAAUCAUUUGUGAUAUUUGCGGGCUAUUAGCAGGUCUUAUAUCUCCUCCUAUUGGUGUUGCAGUUGAACUAGAUGCUUUAGAGCUUUGAGUGCGACGUAUCUCUCCGCGACUCCUCGUGAUAAUCUCAUCAAGAAUUUCUCCACCACUGACAUUCACUGUCGUUCCAUGGUUACUUAGAUCCUGCAAGGUAUAUAGACAUUAAAACUGUGAACAACAUAUAUGAUAAGGUUAAAACAUUUUUGUGUUAAUCUCUUAUGAUGGAUCAAACUAAAAUGAUUCAAAACCUCUUACAUCAAAGGACAUGUUGAAAGCAAUGGCGGGUGCUUCCUCGUAUGAUGCCGCGUCCAACUCUUGAAGAUGGGGUCCUUUGAAAAAAUGGGGAAGAAAAUAUUGCCGAACCGGGACAAGAAGCAUGAUUAACAACGGAAAGAGGACCCCGGCGAUCGGUAUCCAGGUUAUGCCAAAGCAGAGAAGCAAGUAAGCUGUCUGGAACAGAGUAAACAGAGCAAUUGCUUUCAAAGGCACAGUCUCAACAAAAGUGGCAUGGUGUUCCUCCAGCAGUCUAGAAAGGAAAAGAGAAAAGCAUCAAUCUCGUAAAACAGAACGCUAAUAGUCACGAGCAACGAGCGUGCGAUAACUUUAAUACGUUGUUCUCAGCUUGUUGAUCCAAAGAGCCUUAGAAGGGUGACAAAUUGAUUAUGAAAAUAAACUUACUUGUAUCUUCGACUUGGAGCAGUGAAAAGGUACAAUAUUCUCUCCCAAAAUUGAUUUCCCGGCAAGCUUUCAAUUGCCAUGAAGGCAAAGUAACCCCAAAGCACUGAAGUUGGUAUCUUCUUCAAAAGAGGCAUAGCAGCAACACAAGCCGCAACCAUCGAUGCCUGCAGUAGAUUGCUGAGGCGCUGCUCUUUAACUUCAACUGGCAUAAGGUCAUCAACAUCCUUAUUCACAUCAAAGACGAUUUCAUCAACAGGAGCAUCAAUGUAUCCAUGACUUGAAGCCAGUGCGACGGUAGACUCCUUCAACUCUUUAAGCCCCUGCUUGAAGAACAAAACAAAAGGUAAAGCAAAAAAAAGAAAAAAUCGCAAAUUCAAGAUCAAUUGGAAAUCAUAUGAUCGCGUU
RNAcentral lists this long non-coding RNA (7877 nucleotides) under Lathyrus oleraceus (garden pea). RNAcentral describes it as "Pisum sativum (pea) long non-coding RNA (PSAT_LNC042041)". Lineage: Eukaryota; Viridiplantae; Streptophyta; Magnoliopsida; Fabales; Fabaceae. The record is from RNAcentral.